Molecule: unclassified non-coding RNA, 457 nt
Filed under: uncultured Lactarius
Lineage: Eukaryota; Fungi; Basidiomycota; Agaricomycetes; Russulales; Russulaceae
Description: sequence contains ITS2
Rfam family: 5.8S ribosomal RNA (bases 1-154)
Source: RNAcentral
AACUUUCGGCAACGGAUCUCUUGGCUCUCGCAUCGAUGAAGAACGCAGCGAAAUGCGAUACGUAAUGUGAAUUUCAGAAUUCAGUGAAUCAUCGAAUCUUUGAACGCACCUUUCGCCCCUUGGUAUUCCGAGGGGCACACUCGUUUCAGUGGCGUGAAAAUCUCAAUCUUCUCGGUUUUUUCUGGACACCGAAGGAGGUUUGGACUUUGUAGGCCCUUGCUGGCGUCUCUCGCCAGCUCCUUUUCAAUGUAUUCGUGGGGCCCUCUUUGCCGAUCCUCGACGUGUGAUAAGAUGCUUCCAUGUCUUGGUUUAUGGCUCUGUUGCUUUUGGGACCCGCUUCUACCCGUCUCAACGAGACAACGUUCGAGCGUGUCGACCACUCUUGCACCCACGAACCCUUGACCUCAAAUCGGGUGAGACUCCCCGCUGGACUUAAGCAUAUCAAUAAGCGGAGGCU